UUUCCGUAGGUGAACCUGCGGAAGGAUCAUUAUUGUAUAACCGAGCUGCGAGGGCUGUCGCUGACCCGAAAGGUCGUGCACGCCCGAGUUCCCUCACACACAUCCAUCUCACCCCUAUGUGCACCACCGCGUGGGUCCCCCUUUGGCUUGUUCGGAGUGGGGCUUACGUUUUCACACAGAAUUUGUAUGCAGUGUAGAAUGUAUUUUUUGUUUUUGCGAUCACGCAAUAAAUACAACUUUCAACAACGGAUCUCUUGGCUCUC
RNAcentral lists this unclassified non-coding RNA (263 nucleotides) under plant metagenome. RNAcentral describes it as "partial contains small subunit ribosomal RNA, internal transcribed spacer 1, and 5.8S ribosomal RNA". The record is from RNAcentral.